RNAcentral lists this ribosomal RNA (433 nucleotides) under uncultured bacterium. RNAcentral describes it as "partial 16S ribosomal RNA". It matches the Rfam family "Bacterial small subunit ribosomal RNA", at positions 29 to 507 of the family's 1533-position model. The record is from RNAcentral.
AACGAACGCUGGCGGCAUGCCUAACACAUGCAAGUCGAACGAGACCUUCGGGUCUAGUGGCGCACGGGUGCGUAACGCGUGGGAACCUGCCCUUAGGUUCGGAAUAACUCCCCGAAAGGGGUGCUAAUACCGGAUAAUGUCUUCGGACCAAAGAUUUAUCGCCUUUGGAUGGGCCCGCGUUGGAUUAGCUAGUUGGUAGGGUAAAAGCCUACCAAGGCGACGAUCCAUAGCUGGUCUGAGAGGAUGAUCAGCCACACUGGGACUGAGACACGGCCCAGACUCCUACGGGAGGCAGCAGUGGGGAAUAUUGGACAACGGGCGAAAGCCUGAGCCAGCAAUGCCGCGUGAGUGAUGAAGGCCUGAGGGUUGUAAAGCUCUUUUACCCGGGAUGAUAAUGACAGUACCGGGAGAAUAAGCUCCGGCUAACUCCGUG